AUCCAGCUGACGAGUCCCAAAUAGGAAGAAACGCAUGUGCUGGAU
Molecule: non-coding RNA, 45 nt
Filed under: Schistosoma bovis
Lineage: Eukaryota; Metazoa; Platyhelminthes; Trematoda; Strigeidida; Schistosomatidae
Also listed under: 1 other name
Source: RNAcentral